CUGCCUGGAGUCUGAGGAGUGAAAUGAAGCUAAUCCCAGAGAAGGGCCUGAAGACCCCAAAGAAGAUAAGUAAUUUACUGAAUAUUGAACUGUGAUACACCCCCAGAAGGGGACCUGAACUGUUUAAUGACUCUACUGAUUGUGUGAGACUUGGCUGGAGGGCUGAGUUGCUGAAGCCCUACCACAACCAGAGUGAGAGUACAGACACACACGCUCGGCCAGCGGGUGCUUGUCAGAGUGAUUUUAAACAGUGUCUUCCAGCUGACAUCUUCUGCAAGCUUGGUGACCCAACCAUCCCAG
This is a long non-coding RNA of Mauremys reevesii (Reeves's turtle), 300 nucleotides long. RefSeq lists it as uncharacterized. The transcript has 3 exons. The record is from RefSeq and is a predicted model, not a curated record. Lineage: Eukaryota; Metazoa; Chordata; Testudines; Geoemydidae.